ACGAACGCUGGCGGCGUGCUUAACACAUGCAAGUCGAACGCUGAAGCUCAGCUUUUGUUGGGUGGAUGAGUGGCGAACGGGUGAGUAACACGUGAGUAACCUGCCCCCUUCUUUGGGAUAACGCCCGGAAACGGGUGCUAAUACUGGAUAUUCACUGGUCUUCGCAUGGGGGUUGGUGGAAAGGGUUUUUCUGGUGGGGGAUGGGCUCGCGGCCUAUCAGCUUGUUGGUGGGGUGAUGGCCUACCAAGGCUUUGACGGGUAGCCGGCCUGAGAGGGUGACCGGGCACAUUGGGACUGAGAUACGGCCCAGACUCCUACGGGAGGCAGCAGUGGGGAAUAUUGCACAAUGGGCGCAAGCCUGAUGCAGCGACGCCGCGUGAGGGAUGGAGGCCUUCGGGUUGUGAACCUCUUUCGCUCAUGGUCAAGCCGCAACAAUGGUUGUGGUGAGGGUAGUGGGUAAAGAAGCGCCGGCUAACUACGUG
Molecule: ribosomal RNA, 482 nt
Filed under: uncultured bacterium
Lineage: Bacteria
Description: partial 16S ribosomal RNA
Rfam family: Bacterial small subunit ribosomal RNA
Source: RNAcentral